This 253-nucleotide ribosomal RNA is filed under the name uncultured bacterium. RNAcentral's name for it is "partial 16S ribosomal RNA". It matches the Rfam family "Bacterial small subunit ribosomal RNA", at positions 524 to 776 of the family's 1533-position model. The record is from RNAcentral.
GACGAACCGUCCGAACGUUAUUCGGUAUUACUGGGCUUAAAGAGUUCGUAGGCGGCUUUGUAGGUGAGAUGUGAAAGCCCACGGCUCAACCGUGGAACAGCGUUUCAAACCACAAAGCUAGAGGAUGGCAGGGGUAGUGGGAACUGAUGGUGGAGCGGUGAAAUGCGUUGAUAUCAUCAGGAACACCGGUGGCGAAAGCGCACUACUGGGCCAUUUCUGACGCUGAGGAACGAAAGCUAGGGUAGCGAACGGG